ACUUCCCGGAGUGCAGCCUGUCCUAACAGGCUGAUGGCUGGUGACUUUUUAGUCACCAGCCU
RNAcentral lists this small RNA (62 nucleotides) under Rahnella aquatilis. RNAcentral's name for it is "Pseudomonas sRNA P26". It matches the Rfam family "Pseudomonas sRNA P26". From Rfam's summary of the family: P26 is conserved across many Gammaproteobacteria species and appears to be consistently located between the DNA directed RNA polymerase (beta subunit) and 50S ribosomal protein L7/L12 genes. The record is from RNAcentral. Lineage: Bacteria; Pseudomonadati; Pseudomonadota; Gammaproteobacteria; Enterobacterales; Yersiniaceae.